Molecule: small nucleolar RNA, 107 nt
Organism: Eutrema salsugineum
Lineage: Eukaryota; Viridiplantae; Streptophyta; Magnoliopsida; Brassicales; Brassicaceae
Rfam family: Plant small nucleolar RNA R71
About the family: R71 is a member of the C/D box family of snoRNAs containing the C (UGAUGA) and D (CUGA) box motifs. Multiple nearly identical copies of this snoRNA have been identified in Arabidopsis, and it is thought to function as a 2'-O-ribose methylation guide for 18S ribosomal RNA.
Source: Rfam
AAUCCAUGGUGAGGGCAUUGCAUGGUAUAACCUUUAAAUCUUUCCCAAACCUCACAAAAGGAUUCAUGGUUGUUCUGAAUGAAACUUGAGAAUUGAUUUCUUAACCU